Molecule: ribosomal RNA, 424 nt
Filed under: uncultured prokaryote
Also listed under: 1 other name
Description: bacterial SSU rRNA
Rfam family: Bacterial small subunit ribosomal RNA
Source: RNAcentral
UGAGGAAUAUUGGACAAUGGAGGCAACUCUGAUCCAGCCAUGCCGCGUGCAGGAAGACGGUCCUAUGGAUUGUAAACUGCUUUUGUACGGGAAGAAAACAUACUACGAGUAGUAAAUUGACGGUACCGUAAGAAUAAGGAUCGGCUAACUCCGUGCCAGCAGCCGCGGUAAUACGGAGGAUCCAAGCGUUAUCCGGAAUCAUUGGGUUUAAAGGGUCCGUAGGCGGGUUAUUAAGUCAGUGGUGAAAGUUUUCAGCUUAACUGAAAAAUUGCCAUUGAUACUUGUAGUCUUGAAUUUUUGUGAAGUAACUAGAAUAUGUAGUGUAGCGGUGGAAUGCUUAGAUAUUACAUGGAAUACCAAUUGCGAAGGCAGGUUACUAACAAACGAUUGACGCUGAUGGACGAAAGCGUGGGUAGCGAACAGG